UACGAAGGGGGCUAGCGUUGUCCGGAUUGACUGGGCGUAAAGGGCGCGUAGGCGGUUCGUACAGUCAGACGUGAAAUUCCUGGGCUCAACCUGGGGGCUGCGUUUGAUACGUGCGGACUUGAGUGCGGAAGAGGGUCGUGGAAUUCCCAGUGUAGAGGUGAAAUUCGUAGAUAUUGGGAAGAACACCGGUGGCGAAGGCGGCGACCUGGUCCGAUACUGACGCUGAGGCGCGAAAGCGUGGGGAGCAAACAGG
Molecule: ribosomal RNA, 253 nt
Filed under: uncultured bacterium
Lineage: Bacteria
Description: partial 16S ribosomal RNA
Rfam family: Bacterial small subunit ribosomal RNA
Source: RNAcentral